GCGGGAUUGAUGUAGUGGUAGCCUGAUAGCUUCCCAAGCUAUACGCGCGGGUUCGAUUCCCGCAUCCCGCU
This 71-nucleotide transfer RNA is filed under the name Singulisphaera acidiphila DSM 18658. RNAcentral's name for it is "tRNA-Gly (CCC) (tRNA-Gly-CCC-1-1)". It matches the Rfam family "tRNA". From Rfam's summary of the family: Transfer RNA (tRNA) molecules are approximately 80 nucleotides in length. The record is from Rfam by way of RNAcentral. Lineage: Bacteria; Pseudomonadati; Planctomycetota; Planctomycetia; Isosphaerales; Isosphaeraceae.